Molecule: long non-coding RNA, 1195 nt
Filed under: Sus scrofa (pig)
Lineage: Eukaryota; Metazoa; Chordata; Mammalia; Artiodactyla; Suidae
Description: lncRNA (ENSSSCG00070002880.1)
Source: RNAcentral
AUGAACCAUGCUCGGAGCCCGGGUCUUCCCGAGUUUCUCAGCGUUAUGUGGAGCAAGACGGUUCCCACGGAGCAGGUUGCAUAUCUGACAGUGAGGAUUUCCUGCGGGAAAGUACACUGCAUAGAAGCUGGCGGGCAGCCCUUGGCACAGUGCAACCACCUUUCGCUCUGGAGCGAACACUUGUUUUCCAAUUGAGCCUAGAUACUGCUUUUAUAGAAGGUAAAAUGAUAAAUGAUUAUGGUUGAGUAAGCACCAAAUUUUGUAAAAAUAUGUCCUCCCACAAGUUGUUUCAAGGACGCUUGUGACACAGAAAAUAUUCAGAGAUUACAUCACCCAUGAAUCGAGUGCUUGGAGAAAAAUAAUUGGACAAAUUGGAUCACUGAAGUUCAAACUGGAUCCCACAAAUUACAAAUUUUUUUUUACCAAGGAUGACCUUUCACAGUCUGGCUCCAGGGCUCUGGAUUCCCAGAGAAAGUGAAACAGCUUCUCUGUGGCUGCAGAGGUCUGAUUUUUAGUGUGUCACCCUUGACAUUGUUUUGCUUUCAACUCCUUCCUUUUCCUGCAGAUUUAUAUCAUUUUAUUAAUAUUAAAGGAAGGCUAUACUUUUAGAAAUUGAGAUUGAAGAAUUGGGAACUAUGUAGAAUUAUGUCUUCUGGGCUUGAGAUUAUCAUUUUAAGAAUAUUUUUGUCUUCUUUCCUUUCUUUCUUCUUUCCUUUCUCUCCUUUUUCUCCCCCCUUCCACCCUUUCUCUUUUCCUUCCUCCUCCCUCCCUCCCUCCCUCCCUUCCUUCUCUUUCUCUUAUCAUUGACAUCUAAUCUGUCUCAAUAGUGCACUGAAGCCAGCUCAUACUGGUUCAUGAGAGCUAACAAAUACAUUUUCAGGAAUUUUGCAAUGGUUAGGGCUAUUGUUGGUAGCUUGAAAAUGGCCACGGCAAACUAUUCAGAUCAUGGAAAUUGGCAAAUGACACAACUCAGGGAUUUAUUUCCUCCUGGAGAGCCAGUUGUUAAAUAAUUUACCAAUAAUAUACCAUUGUAGGUUUGGUCUGAGAAGGAGAUGCAUACAUAGUUCAGUUCACAGUGGAAGCAAUGAUUAAUUUAAAAGACAUCAAAGUUUCAAAAAGAAAGUGUUUUGCAAUUUGAUUUAACCAGUAAGCUCAUAAAUGUCUUACGUAUCAUUUUUCUGAUUAAGUGUUUUAA